This is a long non-coding RNA of Quercus lobata, 616 nucleotides long. RefSeq lists it as uncharacterized. The transcript is spliced from 4 exons. NCBI's taxonomy places the organism in Eukaryota, Viridiplantae, Streptophyta, Magnoliopsida, Fagales, Fagaceae. The record is from RefSeq and is a predicted model, not a curated record.
UUCUGGUUCUGGUUCUGCUUCUUCUUCUCUCACAUCUCAUCUGAUUUGACUGAAGCAAGUUCUUCUCUCGCAUCUCGGUGUCUCUUUUCUCCAACUUUCAUUGCUGAUGUUCUUAGAUGUCAAACAAAGUCUAGAUUAUAACUUUAUGCCUUUAUCGUAAAGUUAAGCAACCAUAUGAAUUCAAGACUACAUGAAAGAUGAAAGGAAAUUCAUGUUAUGACAACUUUUGAUAUCCAUUAUGAAGCAGGUUCUUAUGGCUCCUUCCUUGCAGAAUUCUUUUUUUAAUAUUGGUGCACUUAUACAGGAGGACUUGUGGGAACUUUUUCGAUACAAGUUGGCAGCAAAGCUAGUGCUUUCAAAAGAUAAUACACAACAAUGUUUUAAAUUAUUUAAAGCAAUAAAAAAUAGAGCUAUUGGAUUUUUUUUUUUUUUUUUUCAUUCAGCCUCUCAAAUGACAAUGCUUUGUAUAAGUGUGAAUGUGAGUCUUUAUCUAUUAGCAAACAGGAGCAUUGUACACAUCAUCUAGAUAAUACACAACCUUCAAUUUUGAGUUUUGACAUUUGUAGUUUGUAAUAAGAUAAAAGUGUAGGUGCGAUAACCUUCUCUGUCUAUGGUA